RNAcentral lists this ribosomal RNA (305 nucleotides) under uncultured bacterium. Its description in RNAcentral is "bacterial SSU rRNA". It matches the Rfam family "Bacterial small subunit ribosomal RNA", at positions 333 to 636 of the family's 1533-position model. The record is from RNAcentral.
GUGUGCCUACGGGGCGCAGCAGUGAGGAAUAUUGGUCAAUGGACGCAAGUCUGAACCAGCCAUGCCGCGUGCAGGAUGACGGCUCUAUGAGUUGUAAACUGCUUUUGUACGAGGGUAAACCCCGAUACGUGUAUCGGGUUGAAAGUAUCGUACGAAUAAGGAUCGGCUAACUCCGUGCCAGCAGCCGCGGUAAUACGGAGGAUCCGAGCGUUAUCCGGAUUUAUUGGGUGUAAAGGGUGCGUAGGCGGCUUUUUAGGUCUAAGGUUUAAGCCCGGAGCUUAACUCCGGUUCGCCUUAGAAACCGA